CCCUUUGUCCCCAGCACCGAUUGGCAAAGGCAGGAUCUGCUUCCCAGCACCGCAGGCAGCGCGCUCCUGGACAUGAUGCUGCCAGAGGUUUCCCUGUGGAUUUCAGUGGGCUCACAGCUUGCAGCAGAGAUGCCCCACUGUGCAUUCACCAAAGCUGAGCAAAACCAUGGACCACAAGGAUGCACUGGGGAUGCUGCCCAGAGUGAGAGAGGUCACAGGCCUGGGGAGCUGGUCCUGCUGCUCUUUGGCUGGAGCUGCAGCCCUGGUUGUGUCUGC
This is a long non-coding RNA of Passer domesticus (house sparrow), 276 nucleotides long. RefSeq lists it as uncharacterized. The transcript has 3 exons. The record is from RefSeq and is a predicted model, not a curated record. NCBI's taxonomy places the organism in Eukaryota, Metazoa, Chordata, Aves, Passeriformes, Passeridae.